This is an unclassified non-coding RNA of Callithrix jacchus (white-tufted-ear marmoset), 147 nucleotides long. It matches the Rfam family "Metazoan signal recognition particle RNA". Rfam says of the family: The signal recognition particle (SRP) is a universally conserved ribonucleoprotein. Lineage: Eukaryota; Metazoa; Chordata; Mammalia; Primates; Cebidae. The record is from Ensembl.
GCCGGGCAUGGUGGGGCAUGCCUGUAAUCCCAGCUACUCAGGAGGCUGAGGCAGGGAAUUGCUUGAACCCAGGAGGCAGAGGUUGUAGUGAGCUGAGAUCAUGCUACUGCACUCCAGCCUGGGUGACAGAGCAAGACUCUGUCUCAA